ACAGAGAAAUUUAGGACGCAUCUCCAUAAGAAGCUCUCAAAGAAGGACAUUUAUGGAGAUUCACUUGAAGAGGUGGUCGGAAUCUGCACUGAGGUGCUUCAUUUCCCUCAAAACUAUGUUAUUUUCGCUGAUACACACCUGUUAGUAGAUUUCAACUAUGACUCUUGUUGGUUUUUCUUAUCAUCAUUUAGCUUCAUAUAAGCCUAAUCUUGUUGUUUAGCGUAAGUUAUCAUGCUAGGUAAGUUUUUUUGCUUUUGUUUUACACAUAAGUAGCACUAAUGCUUUGUUGUAAUCAUGCAAUAGUUUUCUGAAAUGCAUGAUGAAUGCAGUUUCAAGACUGCAAAUUUCACAUUGGGGCAUGCUAUCUUGAAUAUGUUGAGUAAAAGUAAUUGAGUUGAUUUUUUGGUUUUAAAAUCCUCAAGACAUCUAAGAAAACUGUUUCAAAUUGCUUUUUGCAACAUCUAAAAUGUUGCUUCUUCCAAAAGUGGAUUUUAAUCCCACUACCAAGUCCAAACAGGCUCAUAGUCCCUCUGCAGCCUGCAAUUACCAUCGAAUUUUAACAAACGAUGGUUGUGUAGUAGGACUAUUAAGCCAACAAUAGCACUUUGGCAUUGUUAAUCUGGCCUAUUAAGCCUUAAUCUAAUUUCAGAAACACCCAGCCACAUGCACUGAUAAUCACAAGAAUCUUCUUGACAUAUUAGUUAGUCUUAUCCUGCACUAUAAAUGGUUUAAUUAGAAGCACUGAAACAACCAACAGGUAAGGAAGUUAUAAACUUGUGAAGAUUGGGAAGUCGAUGGAGUGGUGAUUUUUACCAUUCUGCCAUAACUUUUACGGUUUAAAUGUGCAUUUAUGACUUCUGACCAUUGACUGCCAAGUUCCUGAGUGGUUUCUCUGCUUGAUAAC
RNAcentral lists this unclassified non-coding RNA (904 nucleotides) under Hevea brasiliensis (rubber tree). Lineage: Eukaryota; Viridiplantae; Streptophyta; Magnoliopsida; Malpighiales; Euphorbiaceae. The record is from RNAcentral.